This is a long non-coding RNA of Dalotia coriaria, 1636 nucleotides long. RefSeq lists it as uncharacterized. The record is from RefSeq and is a predicted model, not a curated record. Lineage: Eukaryota; Metazoa; Arthropoda; Insecta; Coleoptera; Staphylinidae. The transcript has 7 exons.
CAAAUAUACAUUUUGCAGAGGUCGCUAGUGUCGCUUCAAAACGCGCUGUCAAAAAUUUUAAACAAAACCUUGUGUGUUGCCUAGCAUAUCUACGUUAAUGACACUAAUAAAAAAGUUUUCUCUUGGGUUUGCCACGUUCACCACCAGAAAUUACCAGAACCACUUCAAUAAAAGAAACAAAAAAGAAGACAGCCAAAAGCAGUGAAAAAUCAAGCGAAUCAAAAACCGUAAAGCAAACAUCCAAAAAAACUUUGAAAAGGUCAAAUGAUACAAAAUCAGAUACCGAAGAACCACCUUUGCCUGAAUAUGCCAUUGAAGUGGGAAAUCCCACAGGUUUUUUUCACAUUGAGUACAAGUUGUUUCCUGAUAUGGAAUCAGUUCACAUCGAUGUGCUUCAUUGGGACGUGAUUUCAAAAAUUUAUUUUGAAUCUAAAAACCUCAUUUAUAAAAAUAUGAUUCGUGAGAAUACGAUUUGGAUUCCAAUUAUGUUGCAAUAUAAAAUUAUGGAGCCAUUGGAAGCAGAAACUUUGUUGAAGUUAAAAAACUUUGUGGUAGAAAUUGUUAUCUCACAAAACACGAAGAAAAUGAGCAAUGACGCAAAGAAUGAAAAAACAAAAAUAUUUUAUAUUAAAAAAGAAGAUAUUACUAACGAAUGCUAUGUGGAAGCAUUUGAAAAUGAUCCCUAUUCGAAAGAACAAAUAGUCAGGCGGUCAAUGUUACCACUUAUUUCAAAAAAAUACGUGCGAUUUAGUAUGAAACCAAUAUAUUCAAUUACGAAACCUCUUGAUGUUAGUUUAUUACAUUCUCGAUUCCAGAAAAUUAUAAAAAGUUAGAAAAGGCGAAACAAUUAAUUGUAAACAAUAUGUCCCUCCUGCUCCUUCACCACUACCAGAAGAAUAUAAUGUGGAACCAGCCGAAAAUGAUGUUAAUAAUUACACCUUUGAUAAUUCAAAACAAAACAAAAUAGAAAAUAAUGAUAAAAACGAGAAAAAUAAUACAAAACCUGGUAGAACCAGUACUAAAAAAUCACAAAAAGUAAAUAAAAACACUGAGCAAAAAAUGAAACAGGAAGGCAAAAUCCAAGUCUCCGGAGAAUGUUACUUAACUGAUGCUGCACUAUGCACUUUAAGAUUGAAUGAGUCAGUUGAAAACAUCAGCGAUUUCUUCGUUAUCUUAUCAACAUCAAACCUGACAACGCCACAACUGUUGAGUUCACUGCGACCCAUCGUUAUUAAGUUGAAAUCCUUGAGAAACUUUCCGGUCGAUUACUUGAUCGAACAAAAAUUCUCUUCAGUUUACCUGCAAUAUAACAUACCAAACAUAGCAAGACAUGAAACCCAGCCAAUAAUUCUGAAAGACAUUAAAGAUGGCAAAAAAAUUCACGUAAAUGAAGCGCAUAUUUUCUUUGAUGUACCUCUCUCAGACUUCUCAUCAUUUGUAAUCGAUAAUAGACUAUUCGUUGAGUUAAUUGGUGUUUAUAAUGACGAACCAGACCUAACUCCAUCAUUAUUUGGCACACAAAGAAGCGAUUUCGUCCGAAUUCCCCACGUCCUUCGAAAUUAAUCUACACCAAACCAAAAUCGCUUGUUUUAGCGGUUGCAUGUUACGAUCUCUCUCUAUUUAUUUACUCCAGAAU